UACAGAGGUCUCAAGCGUUGUUCGGAUUCAUUGGGCGUAAAGGGUGCGUAGGCGGCGCGGUAAGUCGGGUGUGAAAUCUCGGAGCUUAACUCCGAAACUGCAUUUGAUACUGCGGUGCUUGAGGACUGGAGAGGAGACUGGAAUUCACGGUGUAGCAGUGAAAUGCGUAGAUAUCGUGAGGAAGACCAGUGGCGAAGGCGGGUCUCUGGACAGUUCCUGACACUGAGGCACGAAGGCCAGGGGAGCAAACGGG
RNAcentral lists this ribosomal RNA (253 nucleotides) under uncultured bacterium. RNAcentral's name for it is "partial 16S ribosomal RNA". It matches the Rfam family "Bacterial small subunit ribosomal RNA", at positions 524 to 776 of the family's 1533-position model. The record is from RNAcentral.